UAGGGAAUAUUGCUUAAUGGGCGAAAGCCUGAAGCGGCAACGCCGCGUGUGUGAAGAAGGCCUUCGGGUUGUAAAACACUUUUUGAGGGAAUGAGGAAGGACAGUACCCUCAGAAUAAGCCUCGGCUAGCUACGUGCCAGCAGCCGCGGUAAAACGUAGGAGGCGAGCGUUAUCCGGAUUUACUGGGCGUAAAGCGCGUGCAGGCGGCACGGCAAGUUGGAUGUGAAAGCUCCCGGCUUAACUGGGAGAGGUCGUUCAAAACUGCCGAGCUAGAGUGCGGGAGAGGGAGGUGGAAUUCCGGGUGUAGUGGUGAAAUGCGUAGAUAUCCGGAGGAACACCAGCGGCGAAAGCGGCCUCCUGGUCCGCAACUGACGCUCAGACGCGAAAGCUAGGGUAGCAAACGG
RNAcentral lists this ribosomal RNA (404 nucleotides) under uncultured bacterium. RNAcentral describes it as "bacterial SSU rRNA". It matches the Rfam family "Bacterial small subunit ribosomal RNA", at positions 355 to 775 of the family's 1533-position model. The record is from RNAcentral.